CGGACGGGUGAGUAACGCGUAAGAACUUGCCCUUUAGACUGGGAUAACAGAGGGAAACUUCUGAUAAUACUGGAUAAGUUAGUAUAUCGCAUGAUAUGCAAAUGAAAGCUACGGCACUAAAGGAGAGCUUUGCGUCCUAUUAGCUAGUUGGUAAGGUAAGAGCUUACCAAGGCGAUGAUAGGUAGCCGGCCUGAGAGGGUGGACGGCCACAAGGGGACUGAGAUACGGCCCUUACUCCUACGGGAGGCAGCAGGG
This 255-nucleotide ribosomal RNA is filed under the name uncultured Leptotrichia sp. Its description in RNAcentral is "partial 16S ribosomal RNA". It matches the Rfam family "Bacterial small subunit ribosomal RNA", at positions 99 to 354 of the family's 1533-position model. The record is from RNAcentral. Lineage: Bacteria; Fusobacteriati; Fusobacteriota; Fusobacteriia; Fusobacteriales; Leptotrichiaceae.